UGGCUCCUUGAACCCUCGGGCACCCAGUUAAUAAAACACCCACGUCAGCACAGCGCUCCAGUCUCUCUCGCCGGGUUUCGGUCUUUAGGGCUGAGCAGGAAGUGGCUGACUGUGGACCCUGAUCGAGAGAAAAGGCCAAAGAAAGCCUGCAGGGAAUCAAAAAAUGGAUAUUAUGACCGACGAGGGGGAGAGCAGGCUCUAUCGGGCGUCGGGUGAAUCCAAUCACCAGCAGCCUCAGAGAUGGUUCAACACGGCCGACAUCACUGUGGCUCACCAAAGUAACCUCCUGAAGCAGCUUAACCAGCAGAGACGUCAAGAGCUGUUCUGUGACUUCAAUGUGUUGGUAGAGGGCCACCUGUUCAGGGCUCACCGCAACGUCCUGUGCGGGAGUAGUGGCUACUUCCGCAUGCUGCUGACACAGGGUCCUGAUGGCAUGUCAGAGUCUGCAAAUGCUUCUUUUGACUCUUUCAGCCCAGAGACCUUCACAGUCAUCUUGGAUUUCAUCUAUUCGGGCCACCUGGACCUCUCAGGUCAAAAUGUGAUAGAAGUGAUGUCUGCAGCCAGUUACCUACAGAUGAACAAUGUCAUCAACUACUGCAAGAAUUUUAUCAAAUCCUCUUUGGACAUCAGCGUUAAAGAUGAAGACGGUGAUCGUUGUCACAGCUUGUCAGAGACGUGCAGUUUUACCAGCGCCGCAGGAGAGGAGACCGUAGAUCAGCAACCGCCUCCAGAAUCACGUUCUGACAGUCCACCACCUGCACUUUGGACCAGGGACAGCUCCAGAUCCCAGUCUAGCUUUAUGUGCAAGGACUUGGAGCAUGACAUUUCUGGUUCAGCCCUAAAGACUGAGCCAAGUAGUCCCACCAAUGAUCUCAACACAGAGUCAGAAGACCCCCAAGACCCUUUGUAUACUUUGCCAGUGCCGGAGCGGCGGCGUGCCAGGGGUGCGAAUAAGAGGAAGGCGAGCAACAACAUCCACUCAAACCAGCAUGAAGACCCAGACGUCCAGGAGGCCAGCGCCCAAAAAGCAGAGAAGGCUGAGGAGCUUUAUGCCAAUUUACCACCAAUUGUGGGUGUUGUCACACAGUUUAAUGAAAAUGAAUCCAAUACCGUUAUGCGUUUUAAAUGCCCCUUCUGUACACACACGGUGAAAAGGAAGGCAGACCUAAAGCGUCACUUGCGCUGUCACACUGGUGAGAGACCAUAUCCCUGUCAGGCCUGCACUAAGCGAUUUACUCGCCUGGAGCAUCUCCGCAGCCACUUUGAGACGAUUCACCAAGCCAGGAAGCUGGUGUGCAGGAGGUGCAAGUGUCCAGUGACUGAAGACUCCGGCCAAGUGGUGUGUGAGGGCACACGGCGUUAUCGCAUGUGCCCACUGUGUGUUCACGAAGUGGGCCGUGACACUGUACCCAUGGAAAGUCUAGACGGAAGCAGUGAGGAGCCGGCUCUGUUACUGGGUGUGGAUGGUGAAGAGGAGCACAGUAAUAGGGCCUGGAUGGCAACCGAUGACGAUGACCUGGCUGAAGACUCAGGUGCUGACCUCAUCAUUCAACAAGUGGAUGACAGUGAUGAGGAGCUGCAGUGAAAUUGGGCCAAAGUGUGCGUGUAUGUGUAAAUAUUGAGUGCGGGUAAACAUGUUAAAGUUACACCUGAAAAUGUGGGCUUCAAAUGGGGGAUGGUGCUAGUGGAGACUUUUGUAUCUGCUGCUAUAUGUACGGCCGCUUAAACACAAUAAUAUUUCUCCGUGUGUCAUCAUACAUGAUUUUUAUCAGCCCACCUGGGCCCCCUUGAAGCACCCCCUCCUCCCCAAAGCUCCGCCCCUAGCCUUUACUAUGAUAUGCUGUGCUAUUCCUUUACGGUGAGAGAACUGUCUGAUCAGUUCUUUCAAAGACAUUUUUUUCUUACUUUUGUUACAAGCUCCUUAAAGUAUAUGCAGUAUCCAAAGCAUGUGUCUUGAUUUUUUCUUUUGCUGUCUUUAAAUGACAGACUUAAAAACAAUUUAUUUGUAAAUAGAAAACUCUUUCUGAGUUUUUGAAGAUUCUCAGCUUUGAUAAAAGAUGACAGUUAAACAAAAACAUAAGGACUAAAAAAUGUUUGAAUUAUUUUUUUUUUUUUUGCCAUUGCAUUGCUACCAUAUAAUAUGCGCUAUGAUUAAGUCAAUUAAAAGUAGUUUUAUUUGGUUACUUUUGGACACAUUAAAGAUAUUUUUGUACACUUCCACGGCUGAAAAGUUAUCCAUCUAAACAUCUGUACCGCCAUACAAGAGUGGCUCAUGGUGUGAAGAAACCAUUAGCCAUUUCAGUGUGCAUUAGUAGUUGAAGUAUAGCUAUGGAAAGCGACAACCAGAGAGACAGAGAAGAGUAAGAAGUGCUGACCAACAGGAGCGAGAGGAGGCUGGCGUAAGAGCAGGUCAACCCCUCCCAGAGAAGGUAAAAAUAGUGGAGGUGGGACCCAGAGAUGGCCUUCAGAAUGAAAAG
RNA transcript from Corythoichthys intestinalis (scribbled pipefish), 2477 nucleotides. It is a transcript of the gene named 3-hydroxy-3-methylglutaryl-CoA lyase, with no coding region annotated. The transcript has 5 exons. The record is from RefSeq and is a predicted model, not a curated record. Lineage: Eukaryota; Metazoa; Chordata; Actinopteri; Syngnathiformes; Syngnathidae.